AAUAGGAGGCGAAUAUCCAUUGCACAAAAAAAAUAUAGAGAAUUGUACCAUAAUUCCCUAAAAAGAUGCAAACUCGCAUAAAUAACAUAAAAUAGUGCAUCAUUUUGGUGAUUACCUCCUAUCAUAUCACAAAGACUAAAUUUUGGCAAUGAUCUUGCAUCAUUUUUUCCCACAAUUGUAUCACCGACUUCAUCUCCUGUGAAUGGUAAUUAUUGGUAUAUUUAAUGAUCACAAAUAGUAGGAUUACAGAGGAAUCCUAG
Molecule: long non-coding RNA, 260 nt
Filed under: Setaria italica (foxtail millet)
Lineage: Eukaryota; Viridiplantae; Streptophyta; Magnoliopsida; Poales; Poaceae
Description: long non-coding RNA (SITA_LNC002235)
Source: RNAcentral